AAUUUAUAUGGCCGUUCCAAGUUGGUAUGUUGCUGUUGAAAAGAUAAAAGGAAAACUGCUGAAGUGUAACGAACAAACAAAAUGGGUUCCUAGUUAUGUUAAGGAAAAACGCUUCCACAAUUGGCUUGAAAAUGCCAGAGAUUGGGCAGUUAGUCGGAGCAGAUUCUGGGGUACCCCUCUUCCAAUUUGGAUUAGCGAGGACGGUGAGGAGAAAAUUGUCAUUGAUUCCGUUGAGAAAUUGGAGAAGCUGUCUGGUGUUAAGGUUACUGAUCUGCAUCGUCAUAAUAUCGAUCAUAUCAAAAUUCCCUCUAGUCG
Molecule: unclassified non-coding RNA, 315 nt
Filed under: Hevea brasiliensis (rubber tree)
Lineage: Eukaryota; Viridiplantae; Streptophyta; Magnoliopsida; Malpighiales; Euphorbiaceae
Source: RNAcentral